This 1643-nucleotide long non-coding RNA is filed under the name Mus musculus (house mouse). RNAcentral describes it as "long non-coding RNA chr12:38477749-38479392". Lineage: Eukaryota; Metazoa; Chordata; Mammalia; Rodentia; Muridae. The record is from RNAcentral.
AGUGUGAAUUGAUCUAUUCUUAUCUCCUUGUACAAAGCUCAAGUCUAAGUGGAUCAAAGACCUCUACAUAAAACCAGAGACACUGAAAUUUAUAGAGGAGAAAGUGGGGAGAACCUUUGAAGAUAUGGGUACAGGGGAAUAAUUCCUAAACAGAACAGCAAUGGCCUGUGCUGUAAGAUCAAGAAUCGACAAAUGGGACAUCAUAAAAUUGUAAAGCUUCCAUAGGGCAAAAGAUACUGUCAAUAAGACCAAAAGGCUACCAACAUAUUGGGAAAGAACCAAUCCUAUAUCUGAUAGGGGACUAAUAUCCAAUAUAUACAAAGAGCUCAAGAAGCUGAACUGCAGAAAUUCAAAUAACUCCAUGAAAAAUGGGGUACAGAGUUUAGACAAAGAAAUCUCAAGGGAGGAAUACCAAAGGCCUGAGAAGCCCUUGAAAAAAUGAUCAGCAUCCUUAGUCAUCAGGGAAAUGCAAAUCAAAACAACCCAGAGAUUCCACCUCACACCAGUCAGAAUGGCUAGGAUCAAAAAUUCAGGAGACAACAGAUGCUGGCUAGGAUAUAGAGAAAGAGGAACCCUCCUCCAUUGCUGGUGGGAUUGCAAGCUUGUACAACCACUCUGGAAAUCAGUCUGGCAGUUCCUCAGAAAACUGGACAUAGUACAAAUGCUAGAUCCAGCAAUACCUCUCCUGGGCAUGUACCCAAAAGAUAUUCCAAAUGGUAAUAAGGACACAUGCUCCACUGUGUUCAUAGCAGCCUUAUUUAUAAUAGCCAGAAGCUGGAAAGAACCAAGAUGUCCCUCAACAGAGGAAUGGAUACAGAAAAUGUGGUGCAUUUACACAAUGGAGUACUACUCAGCUCUUAAAAACAAUGAAUUUAUGAAAUUCUUGGGCAGAUGGAUGUAUUUGGAGGCUAUCAUCCUGAAUGAGGUAACCCAAUCACAAAAGAAGUCACUUGAUAUGCACUCAUUGAUAAGUGGAUAUUAGCCCAGAAACCUAGAAUAGCAAAGAUACAACUUCCAAAACACAAGAAAAUCAAGAAGGAAGACUAACACAUGUAUACUUCAUUCCUCCCUAGAAUAUGGAAUAAAAUAUCCCUGGAAGGAGUUUCAGAGACAAAGUUUGGAGCUAAGACGAAAGAAUGGACCAUGCAGAGACUGCCCCACCCAGGGGUCCAUCCUAUAAUCAGCCACCAAACGCAGACAUUAUUGCAUAUGCCAGCAAGAUUUUACUGAAGGGACCCUGAUAUAUAGCUGUCUCCUAUGAGGUUUUGCCAGUGCCUGGCAAAUACAAAAGUAGAUGCUCACAGUCAUCUAUAUGAUGAAACACAGAACCCCCAAUAUUUGAGCUAGAGAAAGUACCCAAGAGCUGAAGGUGUUUGCAACCCUAUAGGUGGAACAACAAUAUGACCUAAUCAGCACCCCAUAGCUCGUGUCUCUAGCUGCAUAUGUAUCAGAAUAUGGCCUAGUUGGCCAUCAAUGGGAAGAGAAGCCCCUUGGUCUACCAAACUUUAUAUGCCCCAGUACAGGGGAACGCCAAGGCCAAGAAGUGGGAAUUAGUGGGUAGGGGAGCAGGGCAUGGGGAGGGUGUAGGGGACUUUGGGGAUAGCAUUUGAAAUGUAAAUGAAGAAAAUAUCUAAUAGAAAUUC